AUGCACUUGUUUAAAGCUUUCCAGUAAGCUGUGAUGUGAGUGCUGCCUCCCAUGAAUUUUCACUAUGCACCAAGCAAAAUGGAAUCUCUCCUAAUUAUAACAUAUUACUUUGCAACUGGAAAAGUAACAUUUUGAGGAGUGGCCCAGUUCCUCAUCUUCUUUCUCUUUGUCUGCCCCUUGCUGGCAAAAAUUGCUCUUGGUUUUCCUCCUUCAUUCAGAGCUUGAGACAGGCAGAAGAAAGCAGGCAGACAGUUAAGGACAGCUUAGUCUGUGUGUACUGCCCUCUGCAAAAGUAUUUGGUGUCUGGCUUCCAGGGAUUCAGCUCCAGUGGUCCAGGCCAGGGAAACUACAUUACAGAGCGACAAGGAGAAGGGAAAAUCUUGAGCUGUGAACACCUACUCCUUAGCUCCACUCUUCACAAAACUCAGUCUCCCACCCACAGUCCUGUGGGACAAGUUGAACUCCAUCCUCUGGAAGGCCCUUGUGCUCCAUAUCCAGAUGUUAAAAUAUUACCUCAUGCACUGCCUGCUGGCUCUUCUGUCACAUAAUAUUCUCAUUUGAAAACUUUUCACAUUGACGAAUAACUUUGAUUUCAUUUCAUAUGGUCAGUGCCACAAAAAGGGGAAAAAAAUGCUGCCAGAAUGUAAACUUUUCAUGUGUUAAAUGUUUUUGCCUUAGAGAGAAAAAGCAAAUCAAAAAUCCACCAAUAGCAAAAUUGAAAUCAUUAAUCUUCAGAAGACUGAAAAAGAAUGAGGAACAUCAUAAAGAGAAAUGUUUCAGCAGCACAAUCAAGCUGGAAGACUCCAGUGUUAUUGGUUUACCCACUCCUAUUGCAGUAUGUCAAAUUUCCUUACAAUCAAAAUUCAUGUUUCUGAGGUGGAGCUUGUUUGCUGCUGUCAGAAAGAGCCUUCAAGGAGCCUAGACUUCAGGAAAACAAAAGGGUUUCCACAACAAUUUAACGAUUUUCAAGAGAAGCAGUGAGGUGAUAAUUUAUAACAGG
Molecule: long non-coding RNA, 1000 nt
Filed under: Anser brachyrhynchus (Pink-footed goose)
Lineage: Eukaryota; Metazoa; Chordata; Aves; Anseriformes; Anatidae
Description: lncRNA (ENSABRG00000006545.1)
Source: RNAcentral